RNAcentral lists this unclassified non-coding RNA (376 nucleotides) under soil metagenome. RNAcentral's name for it is "partial contains 5.8S ribosomal RNA, internal transcribed spacer 2, and large subunit ribosomal RNA". The stretch from base 1 to 120 matches the Rfam family "5.8S ribosomal RNA", at positions 35 to 154 of the family's 154-position model. The record is from RNAcentral.
GAUGAAGAACGUAGCGAAAUGCGAUAAGUAAUGUGAAUUGCAGAAUUCAGUGAAUCAUCGAAUCUUUGAACGCACCUUGCACCCUUUGGCAUUCCGAAGGGUAUGCUCGUUUGAGUGUCAUUGUACUCUCACACUUCCGAUCUUUGGAUUGGGAGCGGUGGACUUGGGUGUUGCUGCUUACUGUGGCUCACCUCAAAUCGAUUCGUGCACCUCUUGGUUGGACAUAGUACGGCGUGAUAAGUGUCUUCGCCGGCACCUCAGUAGAGGGUGGCUGAUCGGGAGCUCUGCUUCAAACCGUCCUCGGACAACAACUGACAACUUGACCUCAAAUCGAGUAGGACUACCCGCUGAACUUAAGCAUAUAAUAAGCGGAGGA